GGGCCCGUAGCUCAGUUUGGCAGAGCACCUGGCUCAUAACCAGGUGGUGGUGGGUUCAAAUCCCUCCGGGCCCA
RNAcentral lists this transfer RNA (74 nucleotides) under Candidatus Bathyarchaeota archaeon. Its description in RNAcentral is "tRNA-Ile". It matches the Rfam family "tRNA". From Rfam's summary of the family: Transfer RNA (tRNA) molecules are approximately 80 nucleotides in length. Their secondary structure includes four short double-helical elements and three loops (D, anti-codon, and T loops). Lineage: Archaea; Thermoproteati; Candidatus Bathyarchaeota. The record is from RNAcentral.